AGAAUGAACGCUGGCGGCAUGCCUAACACAUGCAAGUCGAACGAAGCCUUCGGGUUUAGUGGCGCACGGGUGCGUAACGCGUGGGAAUCUACCCCUUGGUUCGGAAUAACAGUUGGAAACGACUGCUAAUACCGGAUGAUGACGUAAGUCCAAAGAUUUAUCGCCGAGGGAUGAGCCCGCGUAGGAUUAGGUAGUUGGUGUGGUAAAGGCGCACCAAGCCGACGAUCCUUAGCUGGUCUGAGAGGAUGAUCAGCCACACUGGGACUGAGACACGGCCCAGACUCCUACGGGAGGCAGCAGUGGGGAAUAUUGGACAAUGGGCGCAAGCCUGAUCCAGCAAUGCCGCGUGUGUGAAGAAGGCCUUCGGGUUGUAAAGCACUUUUAUCAGGAACGAAAUACCAUUGGUUAAUAACCGGUGGGCUGACGGUACCUGAGGAUAAGCACCGGCUAACUCGUGCCAGCAGCCGC
Molecule: ribosomal RNA, 468 nt
Filed under: uncultured bacterium
Lineage: Bacteria
Description: SSU rRNA
Rfam family: Bacterial small subunit ribosomal RNA
Source: RNAcentral